AGUGAACGCUGGCGGUAAGCCUAACACAUGCAAGUCGAACGGCGGCACAGUAAGAGCUUGCUCUUACGGGUGGCGAGUGGCGGACGGGUGAGGAAUACAUCGGAAUCUACUUUUUCGUGGGGGAUAACGUAGGGAAACUUACGCUAAUACCGCAUACGACCUACGGGUGAAAGCAGGGGAUCUUCGGACCUUGCGCGAUUGAAUGAGCCGAUGUCGGAUUAGCUAGUUGGCGGGGUAAAGGCCCACCAAGGCGACGAUCCGUAGCUGGUCUGAGAGGAUGAUCAGCCACACUGGAACUGAGACACGGUCCAGUCUCCUACGGGAGGCAGCAGUGGGGAAUAUUGGACAAUGGGCGCAAGCCUGAUCCAGCCAUACCGCGUGGGUGAAGAAGGCCUUCGGGUUGUAAAGCCCUUUUGUUGGGAAAGAAAAGCAGCAGGUUAAUACCCCGCUGUUCUGACGGUACCCAAAGAAUAAGCACCGGCUAACUUCGUG
Molecule: ribosomal RNA, 492 nt
Filed under: uncultured bacterium
Lineage: Bacteria
Description: partial 16S ribosomal RNA
Rfam family: Bacterial small subunit ribosomal RNA
Source: RNAcentral